GUGGGGAAUAUUGGGCAAUGGGCGCAAGCCUGACCCAGCAACGCCGCGUGAAGGAAGAAGGCUUUCGGGUUGUAAACUUCUUUUACCAGGGACGAAACAAAUGACGGUACCUGGUGAAUAAGCCACGGCUAACUACGUGCCAGCAGCCGCGGUAAUACGUAGGUGGCGAGCGUUAUCCGGAUUUAUUGGGUGUAAAGGGCGUGUAGGCGGGACAGCAAGUCAGAUGUGAAAACCAGAGGCUCAACCUCUGGCCUGCAUUUGAAACUGUUGUUCUUGAGUGUCGGAGAGGUAAUCGGAAUUCCGUGUGUCGCGGUGAAAUGCAUAGAUAUUAGGAGGAACACCAGUGGCGAAGGCGGCUUUCUGGACUGUAACUGACACUGAGGCACGAAAGCGUGGGGAGCAAACAGGAUUAGAUACCCGAGUAGUCC
RNAcentral lists this ribosomal RNA (428 nucleotides) under uncultured bacterium. Its description in RNAcentral is "partial 16S ribosomal RNA". It matches the Rfam family "Bacterial small subunit ribosomal RNA", at positions 354 to 796 of the family's 1533-position model. The record is from RNAcentral.